Molecule: unclassified non-coding RNA, 1638 nt
Filed under: Hevea brasiliensis (rubber tree)
Lineage: Eukaryota; Viridiplantae; Streptophyta; Magnoliopsida; Malpighiales; Euphorbiaceae
Source: RNAcentral
CAAGCACAAUAACUUCUCCAGCUUUGUUAGGCAGCUUAACACUUACGUAAGCAUUAUAAACUAUAAUUCUUCAAUUCUCCUUUGUCAUCAUCUUCUUCUUCUUCUUCAGUCUUGCUUUGGGGGAAAAAAAAUUCACGUGAUUCCUUUUUAAUCGGAGUUCAUUCCUGUAUUGGUAGCAGGUUUAUUUGUUAUUCUUCUUCUUGGGUGAGGGUGUUGUUUAAUUGGUUGUUUCUUUUAUAUUUAAUUUAAAUAUUUUUAUGCUUAAGGAAAGGUGACGAUGUCCUAUUGAAGGAAGAUGACUAUUUUAUUCACCAGCAAAGAAGAUUGUUCUCAAGAGGUUCUGGAAUGUUCAUGCAAGUGGAACUUUGAUAUGAAUCUCCUUUUUCUCCCUCUGCAAAAUGCUCAUUGGUUCCAAUUUUUAUUAUUUUAUUAUUUAUCAAUGUAGUUGGGGCACUUCUUUGAUUUAAUUUCGUUUUCCCAAUGGCUUUUUCUGCAUCUGGCCAUGUGGGGCCUUGCUGUAUUUGGAUUUGGUGCUAGAAGUAAAAGAUUCAGUAUACAGUCCUCUGUUUCCAAAUGCAAUUUGGUAAAAUUUAAUUGUUAGUGGAACCUGGUAAUUGAUAGUUUUAAUCCUGCAGGGAUUUAAAAAGAUAGACCCAGAUAGAUGGGAGUUUGCCAAUGAAGGGUUUCUAAGGGGCCAGAAGCAUCUCCUGAGAACCAUCAAGAGAAGAAAGACACCUUCUCAGCCUCUGCCUCAACAACAACCUUUGGAUGCUUGUGUUGAAGUUGGCAGGUUCGGAUUGGAUAGAGAAAUUGAUCGAUUGAAGCGCGACAAGCAAUUUCUAAUGAUGGAAUUAGUGAAGCUCAGGCAUCAACAGCAGAACACUAGAGCCUAUAUUCAGGCUAUCGAACAAAGGCUACAAGGUACAGAAAUAAAGCAGCAGCAAAUGAUGCAAUUCUUGGCCAGAGCGGUGCAGAAUCCAGCUUUUUUACAGCAACUAGCCCAGAAUAAGGAUAAGAGAAAAGAACUUGAAGAAGCAAUGACCAAAAAAAGAAGAAGGCCUAUUGAUCAAGGAACUAGUGGUGCUGAAUCAAGCUAUAGUGGUGAGAGUAGAAAUGCCAUCAAAGCUGAACCUCUAGAGCUUGGAGAUUAUGGGUUUGAAGUUUCAGAGCUGGAAGCACUUGCAUUGGAAAUGCAAGGAUAUGGUAGGGCGAGGAGAGGCCAAGAGGAAGGAGAAGAAGAUAUAGACCCACCAGAAAGUGGAGAUAGAGAACUUGAUGAGGGAUUUUGGGAUGAAUUAUUAAGUGAGAGUAAUAGAGGAGGUGAAGAUGAAGAUGUAAAUGUAUUGGCUGAGCGAUUGGGUUAUUUGGGUUCCAGUCCGAAGUAAAGAAAUUGAAGCCUUCUUUAUUGUUCAUCAUCAUCGUGGAUCAUUUCUUCAAUUAUCAUUUGGCAGACUUUUCAUUCCACGGUUGAUUUGUCAGUAACACCCUCGUAUUUUUGUACAAUUAGGUCCUUAAAAUACCAUUAGCCUAUAAUUUUUCAUCUGGAUUUCUUGGUAUUGACAGGAUAGGAGAAUAGCAAAGCAGUGUAUCCGUGGAAAAUAUUUGUAUUUCUGGUGUUUCUAACCCUUUAUUUUAAUC